UCCCCAGCCUCACUCCCUGUGGGCCCUGGAACCUCUUCCGAGCCAUUAAGGCUUGCUUUGAACCCUUUGUCUGGCUCCUCCUGUUACCACCGCCAAUUUGAACCAGACAUCUGGUGCCGUAACCCGGGGGGAGGUUGAGGCCCGGCUCCAGUGGGAGGCCUCCCUCCUCCCAUUACAAGGACCUCAUCUGAGCCCCAUGCCUCGAGACACUGGGGGCUUGCUUCAAGUGUGGCGCUGACAGACACUGGGCUCAUCAAUGUCCAAAUCCAAAGGAACCAACGCACCCAUGCCCUCAAUGCCGGAGGAUGGGCCACUGGAAAUCUGCCCUGACAUUGGAGAAUCCCUGGUGCCUCCACGCAGAGGAAACUCCGAGCCAAUAGAGGCGGCACCUGCAUGUUCCUCAAGGAAGAUGCUGUUACUACAUCAAUGAAACAGGUGUAGUCGAAACCAAUCUCCACACUCUUGCCAAAGUUCGAAUGAAUUCGAGAGGUGUCUAGGGUAUCUCUCAACCAGCUUCUGCUGCACUCCUACUCCCACGUGCCCACUUCUGACAACCCCUACAACACCCCCUACUCAGCAGGAAGUAGCCAGAUCUGAGUCAUCGCCCUAUGACAACAAAAAAAGGUCAGAAUGUUGGGCCGGCAGGAUCGGGAGGACUGGAAAUCAGCAACAGAGUAGCGAUGGAGCCUGCGUCUUGUGAACUCCACCCCUCCCCUCCACCUUGUGAACUCCACCCCUCC
Molecule: long non-coding RNA, 740 nt
Organism: Galeopterus variegatus (Sunda flying lemur)
Lineage: Eukaryota; Metazoa; Chordata; Mammalia; Dermoptera; Cynocephalidae
Exons: 3
Source: RefSeq, a predicted model, not a curated record